UACGUAGGGUGCGAGCGUUGUCCGGAAUUAUUGGGCGUAAAGAAGCUCGUAGGCGGUGUGUCACGUCGGCCGUGAAAAACCUGCAGCUUAACUGUGGGCGUGCGGUCGAUACGGGCAUCACUGGAGUUCGGCAGGGGAGACUGGAAUUCCUGGUGUAGCGGUGAAAUGACGCAGAUAUCAGGAGGAACACCGAUGGCGAAGGCAGGUCUCUGGGCAUUAACUGACGCUGAGGAGCGAAAGCAUGGGGAGCGAACAGG
This 257-nucleotide ribosomal RNA is filed under the name uncultured bacterium. RNAcentral describes it as "partial 16S ribosomal RNA". It matches the Rfam family "Bacterial small subunit ribosomal RNA", at positions 524 to 776 of the family's 1533-position model. The record is from RNAcentral.